This 440-nucleotide ribosomal RNA is filed under the name uncultured soil bacterium. RNAcentral describes it as "bacterial SSU rRNA". It matches the Rfam family "Bacterial small subunit ribosomal RNA", at positions 950 to 1393 of the family's 1533-position model. The record is from RNAcentral.
CACGGGGGGAACGCGAAGAACCUUACCUACCCUUGACAUGCCAGGGACCCCGGUGAGAGCCGGGGGUGCCCGAAAGGGAGCCUGGACACAGGUGCUGCAUGGCUGUCGUCAGCUCGUGUCGUGAGAUGUUGGGUUAAGUCCCGCAACGAGCGCAACCCUUGUCACUAGUUGCUACGCAAGGGCACUCUAGUGAGACUGCCGGUGACAAACCGGAGGAAGGUGGGGAUGACGUCAAGUCCUCAUGGCCCUUAUGGGUAGGGCUUCACACGUCAUACAAUGGCGCAUACAGAGGGUAGCCAACCCGCGAGGGGGAGCCAAUCUCAGAAAGUGCGUCGUAGUCCGGAUUGCAGUCUGCAACUCGACUGCAUGAAGUCGGAAUCGCUAGUAAUCGCGGAUCAGCAAUGUCGCGGUGAAUACGUUCCCGGGUCUUGUACACACGC